Molecule: ribosomal RNA, 495 nt
Filed under: uncultured bacterium
Lineage: Bacteria
Description: partial 16S ribosomal RNA
Rfam family: Bacterial small subunit ribosomal RNA
Source: RNAcentral
GACGAACGCUGGCGGCGUGCCUAAUACAUGCAAGUAGAACGCUGAAGGAGGAGCUUGCUUCUCUGGAUGAGUUGCGAACGGGUGAGUAACGCGUAGGUAACCUGCCUGGUAGCGGGGGAUAACUAUUGGAAACGAUAGCUAAUACCGCAUAAGAGUAGAUGUUGCAUGACAUUUGCUUAAAAGGUGCAAUUGCAUCACUACCAGAUGGACCUGCGUUGUAUUAGCUAGUUGGUGGGGUAACGGCUCACCAAGGCGACGAUACAUAGCCGACCUGGAAGGGGGGUCGGCCAAACUGGGACUGGAACACGGCCCAGACUCCUACGGGAGGCAGCAGUAGGGGAUCUUCGGCAAUGGACGGAAGUCUGACCGAGCAACGCCGCGGGAGUGAAGAAGGUUUUCGGAUCGUAAAGCUCUGUUGUAAGGGAAGAACGAGUGUGAGAGUGGAAAGUUCACACUGUGACGGUAUCUUACCAGAAAGGGACGGCUAACUACGUG